CAUUAAGAAGCUAUGAACCAGCAUUAGCCUUUUAAGCUAAAGAUAGAGGACUACACCCCUCCUUAAUGG
RNAcentral lists this transfer RNA (69 nucleotides) under Carpodacus sibiricus (Long-tailed rosefinch). RNAcentral's name for it is "tRNA-Lys". Lineage: Eukaryota; Metazoa; Chordata; Aves; Passeriformes; Fringillidae. The record is from RNAcentral.